UCCGGGUCCCCGAGGCCCCGCCCCCUCUGGCACGCCCCGCCCCCGCCCGGUCAGAGGCCUACGGCCUUGCUGAGACAGCGGGGUGGGAACCGUGGUCAAACCCCGGCUGACUGGCCCGCGGUCCCUGCAGCCUCCCUCGUCCACGUGGCGCCGGAAGCGCCCACCGCUGGCGCAGGCGCGAGCUCCGCCCAGGUGCCAGCCUGCAAAGCAUGCUUAAAAGUUAGAUGACUGUACAGAGUAUAUUUAGGCCCACCAUGCGCGGGCCAGACUGUGCUCAGAUGGACACAAUCCAAGGUGCUCAUACUGAAUUCAUAGCACAGCCCGAGGGAGCAAAGGGAAAAUGAGCCUGGAAAGGGGACAAUGCCGAGUGCGCUGAGCCCUGAGGACACAGGAGGUAUGAGAAGAUGCAAGAAAUUGGACUCAGAAAAUCUUCUCCUGAAAAUAUCUAACUACCUGAAGACCUGUUCUGCCAGUUUUUCCCAGAGUACAGAGCACUUCAUUCCUGAUCUCCACCCUGACCUCCUUUCAGGUCUUGGAACUUGAGACUGCACUGCUGUGAAGAAGCUCCUGGAGUGUGAGAGACGCCACAUGAAGGAGAACCCAGGCCUCCCAGCCAAAAGCCAGCACCAGCUUCCAGGUACCUGACUGAGACCACCUCGGACUUCCCAGCCCCACAAGAGCUGUCAGGUGACUGCCAUCACGUAAGUGGUUCCAGGAAAGACCAGCGGAAGAACCACCCAGAUUGCCAGUCCACCGAAUCAAGAGAAACAAGAAAUCAUUGUUUUUACCACUAAGUUUUGGGGUGGAUUUUUACAAAGCAACAGAUAAGAUAGCAGAUGGUGAUCUACAGGGAAUUGUGAAAUCGAUUUUCUGGGGGAGGAAAACAGUAUAAAAAGUAUAUAAGACGGCAGAAUAGAAUAUAUGAGUUCAUUUCAUAUAGAAUCGUUGCAAUUAUCUGUUGCUGUGUAAUAAGGCACUCCAAAAGUUCAUGGUGAAAAGCCACCACCAUUUUAUGCUGAAACUUCAUAUGCUGGACCAGGAGUUUGGCAAGUGCAGGGGAUGUGGUUCAUCUUUGUUUUCAAUGGAGCCUCGGCUGUGAUAGAUCAAAUUUGGGGCUGUGGCUGGAUGAACUGAUUAGGGCCGUAUGUCUGGGGCCUUGACUCUGUCUGCUGGGUGCGUUCCUCGUUUCUUCUCCCCAUCAUGUCUUCAGGAACAGGAACGUCCAACUUGGCUUCUUCACUUCCAGUAGGCUGGCAGGAGCCGCGAGGAUCUCGCUCUGCACAGCUCUCCAUGGGGCCAGCUUGGGCUUCCUUACAGCAUGGUGGGCCUGGGUAGCUGGACUUCUUACUCGGUGGCUGGUUUCUGCAAGGCUUCUGCUGACCUCGCUUCACAGAUCCGUGAACAUCACACCUGCUACAUUCUGUUGGUCAACCAGAUGUAAUUAAGGAUCUUGAGAUGAGAUCGCCUUGGAUUACCUGGGUGGGCCAAUGAGAGGUGUUCUUAUAAGAGACAGAAGAUGAGACGCUCAGAGGAGAGGCCACGUGAAGACAGAGCAGACUGGAAGGAUGCGGCCACGGCCACGGAAGCCAGCAACCACCGAACACUGGAAGAGAGAAUGGACCCUCCCCUCGAGCCUCCGCAAGGACCUGGCCCACCUCCUCUCCCACUGCACCUGCACGCUGGGCGUAGGGCUGCACACAGUGCUGGUCUCAGACAGCAGUACUUGAAAAGGUGCCCCGCUGAGUCCAGGACAUGAAACAGCAAAGGCACCGGCUACCCAUUCUCACCAAGGGAUUAAGCCAAGGAAAUGUAAGAAACAAAAGGAUCUGCGAUAUUCAGAAAUGUAUUGAGGACUUCCUUGGUGGCACAGCGGUUAAGAAUCUGCCUGCCAGUGCAGGGGACACGGGUUCGAGCCCUGGUCCAGGAAGAUCCCACAUGCUGCGGAGCAACUAAGCCCGUGGGCCACAACUACUGAGCCUGCGCUACAGAGCCUGUGAGCCACAACUACUGAGCCCUCGUGCCACAACUACGGAAGCCCACGCGCCUAGAGCCCGUGCUCCGCAACAAGAGAAGCCACCGCAAUGAGAAGCCCGCGCACCGCAACGAAGAGUAGCCCCCACUCGCCGCAACUAGAGAAAGCCCGCACGCAGCAACGAAGAUCCAACGCAGCCAAAAAUAAAAGUAAACAAACAAAUUUAUAGAAAUGUACCGAAUGACACGUGGGUAGUAACAACAGCAGCUGUGGUAGCACUUGGAUAUGCACCUACUCAUCUAUCUGGCAAGAACACAGGAAAGACGGACUCUUCCGGAUACCCCGGAAACCCAUCUUGGGUGAGGAGAGGACUUAGCUCGUAAAAGGCAAAGAACAAAAACUAAAACCACAGUGACCUCAAACACGCGUGACAUGAAACUUAGAUCCUUAAGGGUAGGAUGUGUAGCCUAACAAAGAGUUUCUAAUGGUGGGAAGAGUCAAGACCCUCUUUAACGUGACCACACCUGGACUGCGGACUGACUUCCCUCCCAUCCCCGUGAGGGGCUAAAGCCCUGGGCUCUGGCUGUGAAGGGAGCAGACCUAAGAAGCGUGGCUAACGAGUGUUCUAAGAGAAGCAAGACUACAGAAACGUCUCCUUACUGCUUCCUUUGGGUAUUUCUUCAUCGACACUUGUUUUUAAGGCCUAAGUGGAAUCCAUGAGACAAGUUGUCAUAAAACACCUGCAGCUUAUGAAUCAGGCAUGACUCCGUUUCCAGAAUCUUUCAGAUACUCACGGCUCGCUGGGCUUUGUUCAGGCGAAAAUGGAGUGUGAGAUGGGAAAAGCACUCUGUGGUUUUCAAUCUCACACUUAAGUUAACCCUGAGAACUAGGAAAUGCAGAAAAUAAGGCCGCUCCUAAGUUAAACUGGAAGACGAGCAAAGCACAGGUUCUAAAGAGGGAAACACACCAUGACCUGACAGCUAUGUUCACAGAAACAAGCCGGAACGCAUUCAUCCACAUAAACAACACAUGUGCCAUUCAGAAAGGGAGCCCGUCCGCCCUGGAGGGACAGUCGGGACAGGAAUGAAACCGAGGCCAUGGUCAGCAGUGCCCACCCAACAGGGCCCAAGUAGGGUGGUGGCAGUCACCAGGCUUGCGUCCUCAGACCUGAUGGCAGAAACACCUUCGUGGUGGUGAGGGCGGGAAACGUCACCUAGUGAGCUAAGGCGUCCGUGCUCUCGUCCUAGUGCCGCCUGCAGUGGCCCUUCGGGAGCAGCCACCUGCACCCACCCUGCCACCCACUAGUGCCCGGCUGUCCCCCUGGGGAUCCACUUUCAGCCCUCCAGCUUGGGUGUUCCCACCCCUCUGCCACACUGAACCUGGAUGUGACUCAGGACUUGGCUUGAGCUAUCACAGAGGCCAUGAAUCUGGAAGGACACAGCCCUGGGACCCUUGUGUGGCCACGUGGGAAGAGCAGGACACCAAGCCUGCCCAGAGGCGGCGGAACUGAGGAACGCGCGCGCGCGCACCGCCACCAGCACGAGUGCCUCUGCUUCGCCACUGGCUCCAGCUCUGGCCUCACCUCAGCUUGGAACAGAUCCCAGCUGCUGCUGCCCCACCAGUGGCUCCUAAAAACGCACCUCCUGCAAGAGCUGCUGUUCCGGCUGCCCUGAGCGUGCCCAGGGCUGUGGCGGCACAGGGGCAUCGGACAGGUGUGGCUGCCGUGCCUGAUGCGGGGGGAGCCUGAUGCCGGGGGGAGAGCCUGCUCCCAGAUGUACCCAGAGCUGUGAUUACGAUUCUGCGUUAAAAAAUCUUUUUUCAUACUUCCCUAACUCCCUUGCUACAUUCCUGUUUCUAUGGAAUAUGUGAAUAAAAUUUGCUGACUAAAAAAAAAAAUUAAAAAGCACCCACACCCACACACCUGCACGCGAGCACACGCACAGCCCCGGGUGUCCUCCUUCGGGUCCAGGUCUGGGUUGCCCUCGGCCGCCCCAUCCCUGGACUCCACAGGUGAGCCUACACAGCGCCACGCUGUUGCCGACAAUCGGCCCGGUGCCUGUGGCAGCAGAGGCUUCCAGGGCCCGGCUCCCCGUAGGUACUGAUGAGAGGGCGCCUCUGGCCUCCAGAACCGAGGGCACGAACACCUGGUCCCCCUCUGGAGGACACCUGACCCUACACUCCCAUCGUCCAGCCUUUUCAGUCUGUCCGUCCAUUCCUACAACAGAAUUUCCAUAUGACGACACCGGCUCCAAUCAGUCGGCCUGGAGCGGGAGACGCAACAGCUGCGGUCAGUUCUCAGCAGGAGCACAGCUUGCCCUCGUACUCUGUAUUGGCAGUGGAAAAUUCUGCUUCAGUACUUUAUUGAAAGAAAGCAAUAAAUAAUACUGUGAUAAAAAUAGUUCAAAAGUAGACUGUACAUACUUUGUUACAUAAUCGGGAAGUUCACAAAAGAUGAAUAGAAAAACAGAACGGUAACAGCGAACUGUACAAGUAAAUUAAAGGCAGAGCCCGAAUGUAAAAAGCCACGCCAUCUCUGUCCGCCGGUACAGCAGCUGCGUAAUAACUAAUGCGCCAUGAUCUGAACACGUCUCCUGCUGGCUUUUUAACAUGCCAUUAAAAAGUAGAAGUUACAUUUGCUACUUAUGCAAUCCAAAAUGGCUAUAUCGUCAAAAUCUAAAAAUGUACGGCUAGGUCCAUUCUUUAAACAUGUUUACAGACAAAUGUAAAAGGAUGAUUUACAUCAGAAAAAUAAGGCCUUGAUUAGAGCCGCACUACAUUAUUCUCAGCAUCUCAGUGCCUUCACCUUCCGCGUGCGCCAGUGUCUCCUCAGCGAGUGCAGUGCUUCGUGAUUGGUCCUCUAAGAGUCGGCGCCCUUGACCCGGCUUCCCAGGAGGGGGGCGGGGAGGGGGGCGGGGAAGGGGGCGGGCGCGGCGGGCCGCGGGGGCCCA
This is a long non-coding RNA of Globicephala melas (long-finned pilot whale), 4920 nucleotides long. RefSeq lists it as uncharacterized. The record is from RefSeq and is a predicted model, not a curated record. Lineage: Eukaryota; Metazoa; Chordata; Mammalia; Artiodactyla; Delphinidae.